This 439-nucleotide ribosomal RNA is filed under the name uncultured bacterium. Its description in RNAcentral is "partial 16S ribosomal RNA". It matches the Rfam family "Bacterial small subunit ribosomal RNA", at positions 339 to 795 of the family's 1533-position model. The record is from RNAcentral.
CUACGGGUCGCAGCAGUGGGGGAUAUUGCACAAUGGGGGAAACCCUGAUGCAGCAACGCCGCGUGAAGGAAGACGGAUUUCGGUCUGUAAACUUCUAUCAGCAGGGAUGAAAAUGACAGUACCUGACUAAGAAGCCCCGGCUAACUACGUGCCAGCAGCCGCGGUAAUACGUAGGGGGCAAGCGUUAUCCGGAAUUACUGGGUGUAAAGGGUACGUAGGCGGCUGAUCAAGUCAGAUGUGAAAGCCCGGGGCUCAACCCCGGGACUGCAUUUGAAACUGGUCGGCUAGAGUGCAGGAGAGGAAAGUGGAAUUCCUAGUGUAGCGGUGAAAUGCGUAGAUAUUAGGAAGAACACCAGUGGCGAAGGCGGCUUUCUGGACUGUAACUGACGCUGAGGUACGAAAGCGUGGGGAGCGAACAGGAUUAGAUACCCUAGUAGUC